UAUCAAAAACAUGUCUUUUUGAUUUAAUUUAAAGUCGGACCUGCCCAAUGAUAAAGUUAAAUGGCCGCAGUAUAUUAACUGUGCAAAGGUAGCAUAAUCAUUAGUUUUUUAAUUGAAAGCUUGUAUGAAUGGUUUGAUGAAAUAUAAACUUUUUUAUUUUGAUUAUAAUAUAAUUUUAUUUUUUAGUUAAAAAGCUAAAAUUUUUAUAUAAGACGAGAAGACCCUAUAGAUUUUUAUAUUUUUAAUAUUUUAUUUAUAUAGUUUAUUUAAAAUAUAAUAAUUUUUAAUAUUUUAUUGGGGUGAUAAUAAAAUUUAAUUAACUUUUAUAAUAUAAAUUACAUAAAUUAAUGAGUUUUUGAUCCAUUAUUAGUGAUUAUUAAAUUAAAUUACCUUAGGGAUAACAGCGUAAUUUUUUUAGAGAGUUCUUAUCGAUAAAAAGGAUUGCGACCUCGAUGUUGAAUUAAAAUUUAUAUUAGGCGCAGUAGUUUAAUAAUAAAGUCUGCUCGACUUUUAAAUUUUUACAUGAUCUGAGCUCAAACCG
RNAcentral lists this ribosomal RNA (541 nucleotides) under Acrocera sp. SLW-2002a. RNAcentral's name for it is "partial 16S ribosomal RNA". The stretch from base 397 to 541 matches the Rfam family "Archaeal large subunit ribosomal RNA", at positions 2542 to 2687 of the family's 2987-position model. The record is from RNAcentral. Lineage: Eukaryota; Metazoa; Arthropoda; Insecta; Diptera; Acroceridae.